UUGGAAGUUAGGAUUCAGCAAGCAAAUCCAAGUCCAGAAAGGAAAGAGGUUUUUUCUAUAAGUUCUAGGAAAGUAAUCUUUCAAGAUCUGUUAGGAUUUUGUCUACUAGGUUUAGGAGUCCUAAAACCUUAUUGUAUCAGCAGCCCCUAUUCACUAGAAAUAGGAGCUGCAGGGGGUUUUCUAAGGUUAAGAUAGAGAGCACAGAAAACCGAGAGCUAAGGGUGAUAGAGAGAUCUAGCAGGGAGUUGGGGAUUAGCAUAGGGAUUUCAAUAAGUACUUGUAAUCAGGUUGUUAUUCUCCAUAGUGCUAGUGAUCUCUCAAGAGAGAUCACAUAAGUGGACGUAGGCCAGGGUUUUUGGCUGAACCACUAUAAAAUUGUGUGUUCUGUGUUUCUAUCUUCAAGUUCAUCUAUCUACUUUGCUUAAGUCGUAAAGUACCAGUAAAGACCAGAAAAGAUCCUAGGGCGCUAACCACAAUAAGUGGUAUCAGAGCUUCGGCUCUGGUACUUUGCGAUGGUAGACAGCAAAGGCAUGGUCGAAGCAGAAGAUGUGAAAUCGUUCAUUAAACCCUUAAAUGGCAAGGAUGACUUCACGCUUGGCGGAGGAGGAUGAAGAGUGUCCUGAUUCUACAAGAUCUGUACGAGGCUGUUCUCGGGAUAGAGAAUAAGGCAGUUGAUAUGGCAGAUAAGGUUUGGCAGAAGAUGGACAAGAAGGCAAGGAGCACAAUAGAGUUGCAUCUUGCAGAUCAUGUACUGGGUCGUGUAUUGGAUAGUGGAGGUGACAAUAUGAGCAGCAAAGAGACCUGGGAUUAUCUUGAGAAGGUUUAUGCGGGUAAGGGUCCUAUUGGUGAGAAUAUGGACAGCAACAAGACAUUGGACAAUGUCAAGGAGGCUGACGCAGAUAAAUUCUUCUUGAAGAAAAACUCUAUAGUCUUCGGAUGGAAGAAGGCAGGGAUCUGCAGGAACAUCUGAAUAAAUUUCAGAUUUGUGUUGCCAAUUUAUCAGAGGUGGAUGUGCAAUAUGAAGAAGAGGAUAAAGGACUUAUGCUGCUAACAUCUUUACCAGCUUCAUACCAGCAGUUCAUCACCACACUCGUUUCCGGUAAGGAUUCUCUCAAGUACGAUGAGAGUACCGAAGCUAUUCAAUCUUAUAUUAAGACGAGUAGCGAGACCGAGAGCUCUCAAGGAGGCCUUCAAGUCAAGGGCAAGGAGACAAGUCAGUUGACCAGUAAAAAGGAUAAAUCUAGUAACAAGGGUACAACAAAAUCCAAGAAGAAGUACAAGGAAGGUUGCUUCAAAUGUGAUGCUGCAGACCACUUGAAAAGAAACUACAAAGAAGGGAGGAUGGAAGCACAGGUGACGGCAAGGAGUUCAAGUACAGCCAACAUAGUCAUCAGAAAAGAUGAAGAUGAUUGUGAACUUCUUGUGGUAACGUCCAGCUCCAACGCUUUCAGAGAUUGGAUUUUGGAUACCGGUUGUACAUUCCACAUGUGUGCAAUCCGAGAAUGGUUUGACACAUUUGAGGAGAGUAGCAGCGGAGAAGUUUUCCGGGGAGAUGACUCACAGUGUAGGAUCCUAGGUAUUGGAUCAGUGAAAAUCAGAAUGCAUGACAGAGUUGUUAGAAAGCUGGAGAAUGUCAGAUAUAUUCCUAAGUUAAGGAAGAACUUGAUAUCUUUGGGUACUUUGGACAAGGCCGGUCAUAGGUAUAGCUCUAAAGAAGGAAGACUAAAAGUUAUCAAGGGAUCACUUGUUGUGAUGAAGGGCGACAUUCAACCUAACAACGUGUACAAGCUUAAAGGGACUACCAUAAUAGGUGGAGUUGCAAUGUCUACUGAGGUAAAUGACAAGACUGAGCAAUGGCAGCAAGGCCUACGGCGCAUGAGUACAAAGAGGAAUGCAGGAACUCUACGAAGGAAAGUAAGGCAGAAGGUGUUGGUGUUUGCAAACUGAACUUCUGCAAGGAUGGUACUCUUGGGAAGCAGAAGGUGGCAUUCAAGUUGGUAGAUUGUGAGAACAAAAGCAAACGAUUGCUGGAUUAUAUUCACUCAGAAGUAUGGCGCGCAAAUCAAGUAAGGCGUAUGGGAGGCUUCAAGUACCUUGUUACUUUUCUAGAUGAUUUUUCAAGGAAGAUUUGGGCCUACUUUAUGAAGGAGAAAUCCGAGGUUCUCUUCAAGGUCAAGAAAGGGAAAAGCAAAGUAGGAAAUCUAGAAGGCAGAAAAAUCAAGUAUUUGAGAAGCAACGGUGGCAGUGAAUAUAGAAUGAAAGGGUUCUUACGGUUUUACAAGGAUGAAAUCACAAGGUGCAUCACGGUGAAAGAUAAUCUCCAGGAAAACGGGGCUGCUAGAAGGAUGAAGAAAACUUUUUUUGAGAAAGAAAGAGGCAUGCCGCUGCAUGCUGGGUUACCAGACACAUUUUGGAAAGAAGCAGUUAACCAUGCGUGUUAUUUGGUUAAUCGGUCACCAUCAAAGGUCUUGGACUUCAAGUGUGCAGAGGAGAUAUGGUCAAGAGAACCAGCUGGGUAUUCUAACUUAAGGAUGUUUGGUAGCAGUGCGUAUGCUCAUAUUUCGAGCAAUGAGCAAACCAAACUCAAGCCAAAUUUUCUAGGUGUUGAGAAAGGAGUAAAGGGCUACAAGUUAUGGAAUAUUGUCAGCAAGAAAAGGGUUCUAAGUAGAUAUGUUAUUGAUGAUAAGACUAUGCCGUUUAAUGAAGUAAAGACAAGUGAGGUGAAGACGAAGACUGAUGUUGGUGUUGUAGAUGAAGCAACAGAAGUUCCUCUAACCAAAGAGAUCAUGGAAGAGACUCCAGCUCAGGUGGAGCAAAUUGAGCAGGUGGAGCAAAUUGAGCAGGUGGAGCAUGAUAAAGGGGUUAUCGAGAUAGAAGUCUUAGAGCGGCAACAACAGUCACUAAUACAAGCUCAGGUGGAGCAAUUAGCACUGCGAACCUACGACUCAGUUCGUCAGUCGCUUGAGCAGGAGUUCCAGAGAAGCAUAGCAUUGGACAAGUAUGCUCUAAGUUUCAGUCCAGGAGAUCCAACCACGUAUCAGGAAGCUAUAGCAAAAAUAUAUACGGGAAAGUUGGAUGGGAGCUAUGUUAGAACAGAAGAAGAAGUCCAUACCAAAGGACUUGGUUCAGGAGUCGGUUCCUAAACCCAAAGAAGGAAAUCUGGUUGGCUGUAAAUGGGUUUAUAGGAAAAGGGAAGAAAUGCAUGAUAAGGAAGUCAUGAGUUGCAAAGCUCGGGUAUUGGCUAAGGAGUAUGCGUAUAAAGAAAAGGUCAAUUAUGACAAAAUCUCACCAGCAGAUAGAUGCGCUUAUUAUCAUGUGUUCAAGGAUAGCAUGAUUUUACUAUCAGGUGAUGUGUUAACUACAUGUCAGGAUGUGUCUAGAAUUCCAAAGUUAAAGACACAACUAAGGAGGGAAUUCGACAUGAAGGGUCUAGAAGCUGCACAACAGAUCCUAGAAGUGAAGGUAAGGAGGGACAGAGAAGCCAGAAAAUUAUGGCUGUUGACUGAACCCAUGUCUACUCCACCAGUAGCACACUUUCAGUUUAGUGUGCAGGGGGGAUCAUCUACAGUUGAGUUAGAUGAGAUGAUGCAUGUGUCUUAUGCAAGAGUAGUGGGAUGUCUUAUGGCUAGAAUCUUCAAAAGACCAGGUUUAACUCAAGGAUUGAGCAUUGUGUCAAAGUAUGUGGUGAAUCCGGGUAGACGAUACUGGCAAGCAGCAACGUGGAUUCUGUAUUACUUGAGAAACACAAAGGAACAUGAAUUUCUGUUUGAAAGACAACAAGAACAAGCAUGCAUUGCUGGUCAUGAGAGGUCAGAUUUGGCAGGAGACUUAGACAAAGGAAGAUCUGCAACAAGUAAUGUAUUUACUUGCAGCAAAGGUUCAGGAAGUUGUAGAACAACUAUGGAAUCAGCUGAGAUAUUGUCUACCACUGAAGUAGAUUGCAUGGCAGUAACAGAAGCUUCCGCAGAGGCGUUAUGGCUUAAUGGGUUAACGAGUGAGUUUGAGAUUCAACAAAAAACUGUGGUGAAGAAUGGUGUCAUCAAUUUGACAAGGAAUCAAGUGUUUCAAGCAGAGACGAAGCAUGUUGAUGUUCGUGGUCAUCGCAGCAAAGGUUGGGUCAGCUCAGGGAAGAUAACAACUGAGGAAGAAGCACAUUCAAGGGAGAAUGUUUCAGAUUGUUUUACCAGGACCAUUGCCAUAGAGAAGUUCAAGCAUUGCUUGGACUUCCUCAGUGUCACAGCUUGCUGAGUUGUGGUGGAGCACCUCCUCACUUGAGGUGCGUUAAGGCAAGAGGAGUCUUGCCAAGGUGAAGGCUCUUGGAGGUUUGUUCAGGGUUACUUCAAGAAGAUUCAAGAUAUCCUGAAGGGUGCAACAAUCAUUUGGUAUCAACUCACCAAGGUGGAGAUUGUUGUGUUUUGGCUCGUUGAUAUGAUUUGGAAGUUAGGAUUCAGCAAGCAAAUCCAAGUCCAGAAAGGAAAGAGGUUUUUUCUAUAAGUUCUAGGAAAGUAAUCUUUCAAGAUCUGUUAGGAUUUUGUCUACUAGGUUUAGGAGUCCUAAAACCUUAUUGUAUCAGCAGCCCCUAUUCACUAGAAAUAGGAGCUGCAGGGGGUUUUCUAAGGUUAAGAUAGAGAGCACAGAAAACCGAGAGCUAAGGGUGAUAGAGAGAUCUAGCAGGGAGUUGGGGAUUAGCAUAGGGAUUUCAAUAAGUACUUGUAAUCAGGUUGUUAUUCUCCAUAGUGCUAGUGAUCUCUCAAGAGAGAUCACAUAAGUGGACGUAGGCCAGGGUUUUGGCUGAACCACUAUAAAAUUGUGUGUGCUGUGUUUCUAUCUUCAAGUUCAUCUAUCUACUUUGCUUAAGUUGUAAAGUACCAGUAAAGACCAGAAAAGAUCCUAGGGCGCUAACCACAAUAGUAAGUGCAUUUAUAAAAUUUAUUGGAAUGAAAAGUAUGAAUCCAUGCCAUUGGGAUAUAGUCUUUGCCUUAAAAUGCAUGAAUCAUUUUGUUUUGUGCUUCCCACAAGAAAUACAUGGUGCAAAGACAAUUGAUUGAUUUAGGCUUCUGGUCAUAAUGUUGAUCGUACUAAAAGAGCAUAUGCUAUAGUAAUAUAGAAUUCAUUUACUAGUGAGGCAUGUUAUUAGCUAGCCUUUGGUUAUAAAAUUUGGUUGUUUUAUCAUUCUUUCAAUUUGACAG
Molecule: long non-coding RNA, 5189 nt
Filed under: Fragaria vesca (wild strawberry)
Lineage: Eukaryota; Viridiplantae; Streptophyta; Magnoliopsida; Rosales; Rosaceae
Description: long non-coding RNA (FVES_LNC000556)
Source: RNAcentral